GCAGAGGUGGGGGCUGGGCAGGGGGCAGAACUCACAGCAGGGCUGGGCACAGGCAGGGGUGGGGGUGGCAGGGACACAGCACGAAUCAAUCAGGGUUUGGGGAGAAGCAGCAGCAGGGAGCAGUUUGUACAUUUCUGUGUCCUUAUAUCUCACUGGGAUCUCCCAGCCAGAGCUCCUGCCGCAGGGACUCAAGUCACCUUCCCCUAUAGAUGCAGGGUUGGCACCACUGUAUUUGUCACACCCAUGGGGCAUGGACAGGGAGAGUUAAAAAAUCACAAGAUAAACCAGGCUACAUUAUAUAACGUUUUUUUUGGAAACC
Gopherus evgoodei (Goodes thornscrub tortoise) is the source of this 319-nucleotide long non-coding RNA. RefSeq lists it as uncharacterized. Lineage: Eukaryota; Metazoa; Chordata; Testudines; Testudinidae. The transcript has 2 exons. The record is from RefSeq and is a predicted model, not a curated record.